RNA transcript from Portunus trituberculatus (swimming crab), 7030 nucleotides. It is a transcript of the gene named nephrin-like, with no coding region annotated. The transcript has 20 exons. NCBI's taxonomy places the organism in Eukaryota, Metazoa, Arthropoda, Malacostraca, Decapoda, Portunidae. The record is from RefSeq and is a predicted model, not a curated record.
GGGGAGGUGUGUCUGAGUCCUCCGUGCUCAGUUGGGUCUCGUCCGUGGUCGCGGGAGGAACUCUUUGCCCCUCGCCCACCCUCGUCCACCCACUCGCUCGUCGCACGUACUACCAGGCGCCGCUUCGAGCCUCCCGCGCUGGACGGAGUUUUAAAAGUUUAAGUAAAAAUGUUCAAGUACACGGAAAAUGAACCGAAGUCAGAAAGUUAACGCAGUGUGUUUCAAUUAGACGACAAUAAUUGAACGUGUGUGUGCGUGCGUGUGUGUGUCCUUUCAUUACUUAACUGUGCUGGAAUAUAUUAAAAAAAAAUCUCCCUUUAGCCUCUGGAAGGUGGUGAUCUUCUCUCGCUCGCAUCUCUGACCUUUUGCAUGAGCGGGAGAGUUAGUGAGUGACAGACAAGAGAAGAGAAGAGAAGAGAAGAGAAGAGGAGAGAGAGAGAUAGAGAGAGAGCGAAUUUAUCUCCAAGCGGACUUACGGAGAGGAGAGAUGAGCGAGUUUUUGGGAACUUUUUAACUAGUGCCUCUCGCUCCGCCACUCAAGAAAAUUUUGGGACAUCGAACUCACCAGAAAAUAUCAAGACUCUCCCUUGUCCGAGACGCGUGGCCCGGAGCACCACACACCACCUCAUCAUCGUCUAGAAGGCUGCGUGUGGCGUGGACGGCGCGGGUGGCAGGGCCCAGGGGAGAGGAACCAGCGGUAACUUGGCCCAUUAGCGCCGCCCUGAAGAAGGAGAUAGCGCCAGCCUCUGGGGAGCGCCGCCACCCUCUCAAGAGCUUCUUCUGCUGAGCCGCCAGUUUCCCUGUCAUCGUUUUUUAGAGAAGCGACAAAAGAAAGCUAAGCAAAAGAAAACAUUGCAUUCUUCCUCUUCCACCGGAGUCGUCUUUCUUGUGGUCUUAAGAAUGCAGAAGCAGCUCCUCUUCAGACUUUGUCCCCCGCAUUGCGUCCUCACCAGGAAUUGAAGGACAUCCGAACAGUGAACUGAAGGAAAAUAUCAAGGCACUAUUUUCUAUUGACUGCCCCGCUGUGAAUAUUAAGAGCGGGCCAGCCAGCACAGGUCCUGCCAGCCAGCCAGGCCUUGGUGUGGUAAGAGUAAUUGCCCCGUCAGAAGCACCGCGCCCCGCACUCCCAGGCCUGAACUCUCGCCUCUAAUUGACUGCCGCUACUCCUCGGAAGUGUAAAAGCAAAUUCGUUCAUUAAAGAUGCACGGGAAACAUCCGGUCGAGCGAGGAAUAUAGUCCUCACUAAUUAAGGUUCAUCAGAUCACAGGCCUCUCAAAAGCCGCCUCAUUGAUCGCCACGCUGCGCCUUCCUCCUCCCUCACCCUCCUCUUGGAAGGACUGCCCCCGCAGGCCGCUCCCAGUAAUUCAGCUCCCAUUGGUCAAUCAAAGUGAAAGAAAAAAAGAGGUGUCCUUUGUAUGGACGGCACGUGAAGGCCACAGGGAUCUGGAGAAACGCAGCGUGAUUGGCCAGCGGGAGUGAGGGUGCUACGUGUGUGGGAGCGGUAUUAGACGCGGCCCACACCUUGCUCCCGCCUUGCCACGACUGUGACGCGAGGUGACUAAAGUACUAAUUACAGCCCCUGGAAUAAGAAAGAGAGCAAGGAGAAAUAGGAAGCGGAAGAGGGGGUAUUAAAAAAUGAUACUGCAAUUAGCGUGAAGCAUCCGGGGGUAAAAUCCUCGAAAAAAGAAUGUAGUGUGAAAGUUGCGAGUGUUUGCCUUCUGGUCGUUCGCGUGCACGAGGACACGGAGGAGGUGGAGAGACGUGGAGAAGGAGGGGAAGGAGGAGGAGGAGGAGGUGGCAGUGGUGUUGGCGGAGGCGAGGAAGAGGCAGCCAACCUUCCACCCUCCACCGACCAAGGCUGUUCAGGAAAAGUCCAAGGAAAUUCUUGCGAAAAAUUGCUCGUUUCUCGUGUGUGGGCUGCCAGUGGUGCGUUGUCCUUUUUUCUCUUUCUUUUUUACGUAAAUGUUUUUGCUCUUAUAUGUGGAGGAGAGCAACUGAACCUGAGCAACAAACGAGUGGCAGUGACUAGUCUUGAAUAACAAACACUGUGACAUACGAUAGACGUGCAUGGAAACUUGAAAUUAUAGAAGGAAAAGAGAGAAAAUAAAAGAUUUGUUAUUGGAGACAGAAACAAAAAAGGAAAAAGCAGCGAAACUGAUGUAAGUAAACCCUCACACGAAAGGACACUUAAAACUCGAUUCUGGUGACGUUGAAAGGCAUACUCUGUGACAAGUGCCUGAGUGCGUGUACGUGUGUGUGUGGGUACGGGUGUAGGAAGUGUGGGCGUAUAAUUGUGCGCCAGGUGUCAUUGGGCAGGGGAGUCUAUGAGGAAUCAAUUUGUAACUCGUAAGGAACCACCACUCGCUCUUCGCUAUUGGCACGUCGCUCGGUCCUGGCUCGGGGUGUCGGCAAUAUAUCGCCCCGCUGUGACUGUCUGGCACCCGAGCCUUGACGCUAUCUGGAAAGGACACAAAUUGGACAUCAAUACGGCUCACUUCGAGACGUUACCGUUACCGCCACGACCACCACCACCAUCGCCACGACUACCACCGCCACCACCUCACCAACACCUCGCCAGAAAGGUUACAGUCACCGUUCCCAUUACCUCCCGUGUAAUUUGCGUGUUACGGCUUUGGGGAAUCAGAGGAUAUUAAUUGCCUCGUUUACGACACGCACACAAAUAGCUAGCGGACUCAAGCAAUUAAAUCAGCCAUCGGGCACGCUCCUCUCCCCGCCAGUGAAUAAAUAACAGAUAACGCUUGCCGAGAUAUGGAUGACGGACCCGUACGCCUCCCUCAGACACGGUGCCAUUCUUUCGCUAAGAAAACAAAAAAACGAGUGUGAGCUGCGCCGCUUAAUGAAAGAGGACGUGUAACAGAUAUACACAAGAAACAACUUUAUUAAUUGCGUUCAAGACAGUGUGUGGGUGUGUCCUAUACUGGUGUGUUUAUACCUGUGCAUUGUUAAGUGUUCAUUGACGCCGCCCACAAUGCUGCCCACGCCCGCUGCACGCCUCCUCGCCUUCCUUGCCUGCUGCCUGGGCGUCUCCCUCACACCCGCAGCGGCUUAUCGUAAAGGUGUGAGGCAACGCGUGGAGGCCGUGGCGGGGCGGGAGGCGGUGCUGCCCUGCGUUGUGGGGAACAUCGAGGCUUCAGACAUGGUAUACGUGGUGUUGUGGUACAGGAACGGCAACAAGGAGCCCAUCUACAGUUACGACAACCGGCCGGGGCGCCUCCAGCCUUCCGAGGAGCGCCACCUUGUCAAGAGUCCUCCGCUACAGGGCCGCGUUAACUUCCGGCCGGGCCACCAGCCGGCGCUGCACAUCAAGCCUGUGAGGAGCACUGACCAGGCCAACUAUACUUGUAGGGUGGACUUCCGGAUAGCUACGUCGCGGCGCACAUACCUCAGCCUUCACGUGGUGGUGCCGCCAGAUGCGCCCAUUCUGAAGGUCGGAGGGCAGAGAGCGACAGACGGUGUGCUGGGGCCUCUGCAAGAGGGUACUUCGCUGGAGAUCACCUGCAGUGUGGCCGGCGGCGUCCCUCCUCCCAAUGUCGUCUGGGAGCGUGAUGGGGAGGUUUUGGACUCAACAGCAGAGUCUCGGUCCCCUGCGCUCACCAUCAACCGGCUGAGCAUCCUGCAGCUCACCCGGGACUACCACAACGCCAAGCUCACCUGCGUCGCCUACAACAACAACGUCACUGCCCCCGCCAGAGCCUCCGUCACCGUGAAAAUGAACCUACGCCCGCUGGUGACGAGGAUAGAGGCCCCGCCCAAGUGGCUGAGGGUGGGGCGGGAAUUCGAGAUAGCCUGCGUGGUGGCGGGAAGCAGACCACACCCCAACGUGACAUGGACGAUUGGAACUGUCACCAGCCUCACGCCGCUCAUCGCUGAGACGGAGCACGGGGUGAAUAUGAGCACCUCCCGCGUCAAGGUGGUCGCUUCCCGACGCCACCACGGACAGCGCCUCACCUGCACCUCCGUCAACCCGCUGUUCCCUCUCGCCAGACUCACCGACUCCACACUUCUCAAUGUUACUUACCCGCCCGUGGCCACGAUAGAGCUGGGUCGCGGUGUUUCCUCAGUAGUGAAGGAGGGAGAGGAUGUUUACUUCGACUGCAACGUGGAUUCCAACCCGCCUACCUACAAGAUCUCGUGGUUCAGGAGAAGUCAGGCCAUCCUGCACCACCCUGCUGAAGGCGUCCUGCUCAGCGGCAACAGCCUGGCUCUGCGCCGCAUCACCAGGCACCAGGCGGGACCUUACACCUGCGCCGCCUCCAAUGUCGAGGGGGACGCCCACAGCCCGCCUCUCACCCUCCACGUGAAUUACGCCCCGGUGUGUGCGGUGGGCGGGUCGGGGCGCGUGCUGGCUACAGGACUUGGCCAGCAGGUGAACGUCACAUGUCGGGUGGAGGCGGCCCCGCGUUCCGUUAGGUACUCAUGGGUGUUCAACAACUCUCUUGUGUCCCAUCGUCUGCCCGGCGACCAGAUCUUCGUCACGUCAGACGGAGGCAGUGUCGUCCAUUUUGUGGCCCGCACUCACCAGGACUACGGGACGCUUCAGUGCUGGGCGCAGAACACAGUGGGCAGGAUGACGCAGCCGUGCCUCUUCCAUGUGGUGCCAGCAGGUCGGCCGGAGCAACCUCAAGGAUGUCUGGUGGUGAACAAAACCUAUAACUCUCUGGCGGUGGAAUGCACUCCUGGUUUCGACGGUGGACUGCGGCAGGAGUUCAUAGCCAAGGUGUUCGAGGCAGUGACGGGGCGAGGACAAGCCAACGUGACCUCGGAGUCUCCCAACUUCACACUGGAGGGCCUCACGCCGGGCCUGGACUACAUCAUCCAGGUGACGGCGAGGAACAAGCUAGGCUCCUCAGACCCUGUGCGGCUGGAGGCUCUGACCUACAAGAUGGCGGAGAACAGGAUGCGGGACGAGCAAGGUGGUGAAGGCAACGGAGGCGGAGGACCAGGAGGCGGCAUGCUGUUUGUGAGUCUGGCUGCAGUGGCGACGGUGGUGGUGGUGCUGGUGGUGGCGGGACUGGCUGGACGCUGCCUCUGGGCCCGACGACACGAGAGGGACCUUAUCACUGGCGGCAGCAGAAGCACCAGAGGCUACUCGGCGCCCCCUGAGAAGCACAGUGGGCGGCUCUCAGGAGAAGAAGCAACAGCUGUGGACGCCAGGGUGUUCGUCACAGUCAACCAGGACUCGAAGGAGAUCAUAACGACGAUUAUCCGAAGGAGUGAGAAACUUUAACGCCGCUACCAACAACCUAUGACGACGAGCUUCACUUUGAGGUUCCGACGAUCAGCUUGGAGGCGCACCGGGAGCCCAGAACGCGCAUAGCUGACCACGCGCUCUAAGCACCCGCCCGUCAGCUACUCAGCGCAGCAACCCAGCUCAGCUCAGCCCACACUAGCUCCGACAUCCUUACCGGCCGAGCCCCAGUUUCCAGCGUUAUAACCCUCCCUCCCUACUUCUCUCCCACUCCCCGAGACUCCCACCAUCCUAACACUUGUCAGUCCACAGCCAGCUCAUGUAUUUGCCUCUGACACGACGGAGACUAGCAGUGCAUCGGACAGUAAGAUCCAGCCGAGGCUUUCCGUCAUGAGGAUCGCGGCACUCUCAUUCAUCUCUGUCCCUCGGGUCUUCAGGCUCGUGGCAGGUGAUCUAUCCACCCUCCUUGGGGAUUACGUCAUUCACUCCCGUAAUUACCCCCAUUAGGUGUUACCCCAAGUGUAGGUGAAUGGGUUCGAGUCCCGGCGUGGUUGAGUCAGCAAUAAGCAACUUCCGACGCCAGCCACUUCACCAGCGUGCCACCGUGGAUUUUGAAUAGGGAUUAAAGAGUUGGAUCUCGGGGCUGUCUGCCUCAAUCCCGCCCGCUCCCAGCCACCCGCCCCUCGUCCCACUCCCCUCCUUUUUCUGCAUGGCCAAUCACCAGUCAGUUGCUCCGAAACUUUUUGUAAUGAUUGCCGUACCUACAAACCCAGCCCUUGUUGAUGACCAGUCAGUUUGUUAGGAGCGUAAUGAAAUAUAAACUGACUGAUGCAGAUGUAUUUUUUUCGUCCACUCGUCUGUGUGAUUCAUGCAUAUUUGGAGCACGGCAAGCAUUUUGUCCACUAAUUGGUGAAAAGGUUUGCAAAACUGUAGUCUGUUUAUUUCCCUACUUUUUUUUAUCAAAAUUUCUUUUUUCCCCUGCUUGGGGGAGUAUGGCUGGAGGUAUUAACGGGGAUACAAUAACAGGAAACGAACUCGAUGUUGCAUUCUAUUUGUUCAUUCGUUAACUUGUUUAUUUGUGCAUUUGCUUACAUUGACCCAUCGCUGAGGGGCUUACUGUAACCCCGCGUCUCCUGGUGCAGCCCGGCCAGAUUCGGACACUGGAGUGGGAGGAGAAGGAAUAUUUUCCGGCACGAAACAGAGGCGCUGAACGUGCCCUGCGAGUUCCGAUUUCAGUGCGUUUGUCCGAUCGAUGGAAUAUGCAGGGCGUCCACAGGCUUGAGGUCACAGAGUCUCCGUCGCGGGAGUGUGAUCGAGAAAAAUAUGUUAUGAGGAGCCGACAAGUAGCCUCCCUUCAUCACUCCUCCAUCGAUUCCUCCUCCUCUCCCUGCCUUCCCCUCACCCUCUCCACCGUCUCGCUCUGUAUCUUGGACCUUGUUAAUCUUUUUACUGCCCAGGCAACAGACGAGACUCGGUGUUGGAAACGUAAUAAGAAGUUGUACAUAAGAAGGUGCCCCAAUCCCCGCCUUCCCUGUCCCUCCACCCUAUACGUCACCUGUUUCCCUUACUCCCUCCCUCGCGUUCCCUUCCUUCCCUUUCUCAUUUUCGUACCUCCUCCCUUUCGGUCUUCAUUACAAUCGUUAGUGUCCGUCAUAAUGUAAAUAUCGGAUAUUCACUAGUAGCGUCUCAUGUGUAAUGUAUAUGUAGCUGUGAUAAUAGUUUUUAUAUGUAAUAUAAAUGGCGUAUAUUUUUACAGUCGACAUGGUACAGUGUUUUCGUGUCCAUGUAUGAAGUGUUAGACAAUAAAGGUUAUUGCAUUUA